This 800-nucleotide ribosomal RNA is filed under the name uncultured bacterium. RNAcentral describes it as "bacterial SSU rRNA". It matches the Rfam family "Bacterial small subunit ribosomal RNA", at positions 25 to 815 of the family's 1533-position model. The record is from RNAcentral.
CAGGAUGAACGCUAGCGACAGGCUUAACACAUGCAAGUCGAGGGGCAGCGGGGGAGUGGCAACACUUCCGCCGGCGACCGGCGCACGGGUGAGUAACACGUAUGAAACCUGCCCGCAGCAGGGGGAUAAGCGGAAGAAAUUCCGUCUAAUACCGCGUAACAACCGACGGGGGCAUCCCUGUUGGUUCAAAGGAGCGAUCCGGCUGCGGAUGGUCAUGCGGCGCAUUAGCUAGUUGGCGGGGCAACGGCCCACCAAGGCGACGAUGCGUAGGGGUUCUGAGAGGAAGGUCCCCCACACUGGUACUGAGACACGGACCAGACUCCUACGGGAGGCAGCAGUGAGGAAUAUUGGUCAAUGGCCGAGAGGCUGAACCAGCCAAGUCGCGUGAGGGAUGACGGCCCUACGGGUUGUAAACCUCUUUUGCCGGGGAGCAAAGAGCGGGACGCGUCCCGCCUCGAGAGUACCCGGAGAAAAAGCAUCGGCUAACUCCGUGCCAGCAGCCGCGGUAAUACGGAGGAUGCGAGCGUUAUCCGGAUUUAUUGGGUUUAAAGGGUGCGCAGGCGGAAGCGCAAGUCAGCGGUAAAAUUGAGAGGCUCAACCUCUUCCCGCCGUUGAAACUGCGUUUCUUGAGUGGGCGAGAAGUACGCGGAAUGCGUGGUGUAGCGGUGAAAUGCAUAGAUAUCACGCAGAACUCCGAUUGCGAAGGCAGCGUACCGGCGCCCAACUGACGCUCAUGCACGAAAGCGUGGGUAUCGAACAGGAUUAGAUACCCUGGUAGUCCACGCAGUAAACGAUGAAUA